GAAAAACCCAGCUUGGCUCCUCUUAGGAAGAAUCUCUUCACCUUUUUUUUUUGGUAUAUAUUAUGAGAGAACUGUUAAUGCUUCUCUCUGUGCAGUCCCACACACCUGCAGCAGCUGGGAUCUGGAGGUGCUCGUUCCCUCUGCUGUCCCCUGGAGUGCUGGAGAUGGAGGAGGUGUUCCUGCAGCUCUGGGGGGAGGUGGCCAGGCUGCAGGAGCUGUGCUCGGAGCAGGGGAGGCUCCUCCAGAGGCUGAGGGCCAGGAAGGGACCAGUUCUCGACAUCCCGGUGUCGCUGCCUAUCCAGUGCACGGAGGACGUGGUGCCAGGGGACGGGCAAAGGUCACCUGAGAGCUGCCAAAACCACCCAGGGGCUCUGACAUCCUCCACAUCCCCCCUGGAGGGCUCUGCUUGUCCCAUGGAACAUCCCCAGGCCACCAACAGGCUCCCCCCAGGCCCUGGGAAUGGCGUGGGGACCGGAGGAGCCGCAGCUUUUGGCAGCAGCGAGGGGGAGAAGGGAGAUGUGCCCACCUGGAUGAGAACCUGGGUCCUCCCUGUCCCCUGGGAAGGAGGAAGAGCCCCCUGCAGCCCUCGGGAGUUGGAGACACUAAAUCCAGGGGCUGGGGGCUCCUUCCCAAAUCUUCUGGAUCUCUACAGAGCCCCAGAAGUGCUUGAGAGGGAAGAUGGUCCCCGGGACGUGGCUCUCCCUGGGGAGGCUCUGGUGGAGAUCCGAGGGCCUGUGAAGACGUGCUGGACUCCAGGCUGGGUGAUGGAGGAGGAGAUGCUCAGGACCGGCCCCACCCGUGAGGCUGCUCCAGCCUGUGACCUGUGCCGGGAGAUUUUCCCCUCAGAUGCAGCGGGACACGUGGAAUAUUUGAACCAUGUCUUGGCCCAUCUGGAGUAGGACUUGUCUUCCCAAUGGGAAAUCCAUGGAUUUGCACCACAGGACAGACUCUGCACAUUCCCAAGCUGGACUUGAUGGCCUCAGAGAGCUUUUCCAGCCCUGGGGUUCUGUGGCUGAUGAGGAUUCCGGGAUCCUCCUGCUGGUUUGGACUGGGAGCAGCUGCCACGUUCCCUGUCCUUCUCCAUGUGGAAUGAACUCCCAGAUUUGGAUUAUCCUGGCUGUGUUUUGGGUUACUGAUCUCUGUGGAUGUUGAAGCCAAUCCCAUCCUGGGGUCUGGAGGUGCAGCUCCUGGGAAAAGGGAAUUUCUCAAAAUUUGCCUUUGACACAGUGGAAAUGAAUCUUCCAUAAAUAGUCAGGGAUGUUUGGGAAGACACAUCGGCUUUCUCUGGGAGUUUGGAAAGUUGGGUGGGAGAAUCUCAAGGUUUUUGGGGUCACUAAGUAUUAUUUUAAUUCAUUAACAGUAAUUUGAGAGUUUUAUGGCACUUCCAUCAGUGGUAUCCAAUGUGCUUCCCAAAGGGUUUCACUGCAGCAGUGGGGAAAUUGAGGCACAAAUCAUGGAUCAUCUUCAAAUCCCUUUUUUCUUCUGGAAAAAUCUCAUCUCAGGCUUUUCUAUUUUGUAAGUUUCUCCUAAAGUGGAUUUGGCAUCUCCUGUUUGAGAAAACUUGUGUUGAAAUGGAGAGCCAGGUUCUUCUCUAAUUCCAGAAGAAUUGGGAUCUCCAGCUCCAACGUUCUCCUCUUUGGCAGCACAGAAAAGUCAGGAGUUAAUUUUCUUCCCCAAAGCAGAGCCACAUUAAUGGAUUAACCCAUGACAAACCCACAUGUCCCCAGGGUCCCUGGAACCAUUUUCCAAGACAAAUCCCACAGCUCCUUUCUCUGGAUCUGCAGCUUUGACCUUGGAUUCUCCAUCCAUGUGGAUAUUGGAGCUGCUUCCAGCCCUGGGUAGAGCUGGGGCCUUUAUUUCACUGAAAAUGGAUUUUCUCAAGGUUUUCUUGGGAUUUUC
Molecule: long non-coding RNA, 1899 nt
Organism: Parus major (Great Tit)
Lineage: Eukaryota; Metazoa; Chordata; Aves; Passeriformes; Paridae
Source: Ensembl